CAACCUGCCCACCACUUGGGGAUAACCUUGCGAAAGUAAGACUAAUACCCAGUGAUAUCUCUAGAANACAUCUGAAAGAGAUUAAAGAUUUAUCGGUGAUGGAUGGGGAUGCGUCUGAUUAGCUUGUUGGCGGGGUAACGGCCCACCAAGGCAACGAUCAGUAGGGGUUCUGAGAGGAAGGUCCCCCACAUUGGAACUGAGACACGGUCCAAACUCCUACGGGAGGCAGCAGUGAGGAAUAUUGGUCAAUGGACGAGAGUCUGAACCAGCCAAGUAGCGUGCAGGAAGACGGCCCUAUGGGUUGUAAACUGCUUUUAUAAGGGAAUAAAGUGAGUCUCGUGAGACUUUUUGCAUGUACCUUAUGAAUAAGGACCGGCUAAUUCCGUGCCAGCAGCCGCGGUAAUACGGAAGGUCCGGGCGUUAUCCGGAUUUAUUGGGUUUAAAGGGAGCGUAGGCCGGAGAUUAAGCGUGUUGUGAAAUGUAGAUGCUCAACAUCUGAACUGCAGCGCGAACUGGUUUCCUUGAGUACGCACAAAGUGGGCGGAAUUCGUGGUGUAGCGGUGAAAUGCUUAGAUAUCACGAAGAACUCCGAUUG
This 595-nucleotide ribosomal RNA is filed under the name uncultured Bacteroidota bacterium. Its description in RNAcentral is "bacterial SSU rRNA". It matches the Rfam family "Bacterial small subunit ribosomal RNA", at positions 122 to 715 of the family's 1533-position model. Lineage: Bacteria; Pseudomonadati; Bacteroidota. The record is from RNAcentral.